Molecule: transfer RNA, 97 nt
Filed under: compost metagenome
Description: tRNA-Gly
Source: RNAcentral
UAGGAGCUGGGGGGUUCCCUCACCCCAGCCCUCUCCCAGAGGGAGAGGGGGCGCAACGGCGUGGAAUUGUAUGCCGUGCCAGCCGGCAACUCCGGAC